GUCGAGAAUCUUUCACAAUGGGGGCAACCCUGAUGGAGCGACGCCGCGUGGAGGAUAAGGUCUUCGGAUUGUAAACUCCUGUCAUGCGUGAACAAGGCUGACUGGUUAAUACCUGGUCAGAUUGAUGGUAACGCAAGAGGAAGAGACGGCUAACUCUGUGCCAGCAGCCGCGGUAAUACAGAGGUCUCAAGCGUUGUUCGGAAUCACUGGGCGUAAAGGGUGCGUAGGUGGCGUGGUAAGUCAAAUGUGAAAGCCCGGGGCUCAACCUCGGAACUGCAUCCGAUACUGCCAUGCUAGAGUACUGGAGAGGUGACUAGAAUUCUAGGUGUAGCAGUGAAAUGCGUAGAUAUCGAGAGGAAUACCAAAGGCGUAGGCAGGUCACUGGACAGUUACUGACACUGAGGCACGAAGGCCAGGGGAGCGAACGGGAUUAGAAACCCUUGUAGUCC
Molecule: ribosomal RNA, 449 nt
Filed under: uncultured bacterium
Lineage: Bacteria
Description: partial 16S ribosomal RNA
Rfam family: Bacterial small subunit ribosomal RNA
Source: RNAcentral